Molecule: ribosomal RNA, 450 nt
Filed under: uncultured bacterium
Lineage: Bacteria
Description: bacterial SSU rRNA
Rfam family: Bacterial small subunit ribosomal RNA
Source: RNAcentral
AACGAACGCUGGCGGCAUGCCUAACACAUGCAAGUCGAACGAGACCUUCGGGUCUAGUGGCGCACGGGUGCGUAACGCGUGGGAACCUGCCUUUAGGUUCGGAAUAACUCAGAGAAAUUUGAGCUAAUACCGGAUAAUGUCUUCGGACCAAAGAUUUAUCGCCUUUAGAUGGGCCCGCGUAAGAUUAGCUAGUUGGUGGGUAAAGGCCUACCAAGGCGACGAUCUUUAGCUGGUCUGAGAGGAUGAUCAGCCACACUGGGACUGAGACACGGCCCAGACUCCUACGGGAGGCAGCAGUGGGGAAUAUUGGACAAUGGGCGAAAGCCUGAUCCAGCAAUGCCGCGUGAGUGAUGAAGGGCCUUAGGGGUUGUAAAAGCUCUUUUACCCGUAGAUGAUAAUGACAGUAUCGGGAGAAUAAGCUCGGCUAACUCCGUGCCAGCAGCGCGGUAA